This 554-nucleotide ribosomal RNA is filed under the name Escherichia coli. Its description in RNAcentral is "partial 23S ribosomal RNA". It matches the Rfam family "Bacterial large subunit ribosomal RNA", at positions 397 to 950 of the family's 2925-position model. The record is from RNAcentral. Lineage: Bacteria; Pseudomonadati; Pseudomonadota; Gammaproteobacteria; Enterobacterales; Enterobacteriaceae.
CUGUGAGCUCGAUGAGUAGGGCGGGACACGUGGUAUCCUGUCUGAAUAUGGGGGGACCAUCCUCCAAGGCUAAAUACUCCUGACUGACCGAUAGUGAACCAGUACCGUGAGGGAAAGGCGAAAAGAACCCCGGCGAGGGGAGUGAAAAAGAACCUGAAACCGUGUACGUACAAGCAGUGGGAGCACAGAGCAAUCUGUGUGACUGCGUACCUUUUGUAUAAUGGGUCAGCGACUUAUAUUCUGUAGCAAGGUUAACCGAAUAGGGGAGCCGAAGGGAAACCGAGUCUUAACUGGGCGUUAAGUUGCAGGGUAUAGACCCGAAACCCGGUGAUCUAGCCAUGGGCAGGUUGAAGGUUGGGUAACACUAACUGGAGGACCGAACCGACUAAUGUUGAAAAAUUAGCGGAUGACUUGUGGCUGGGGGUGAAAGGCCAAUCAAACCGGGAGAUAGCUGGUUCUCCCCGAAAGCUAUUUAGGUAGCGCCUCGUGAAUUCAUCUCCGGGGGUAGAGCACUGUUUCGGCAAGGGGGUCAUCCCGACUUACCAACCCGAUGC